AGCAGUAGCCGCGGUAAUACGGAGGGUGCAAGCGUUAAUCGGAAUUACUGGGCGUAAAGCGCACGCAGGCGGUCUGUCAAGUCAGAUGUGAAAUCCCCGGGCUUAACCUGGGAACUGCAUUUGAAACUGGCAGGCUAGAGUCUUGUAGAGGGGGGUAGAAUUCCAGGUGUAGCGGUGAAAUGCGUAGAGAUCUGGAGGAAUACCGGUGGCGAAGGCGGCCCCCUGGACAAAGACUGACGCUCAGGUGCGAAAGCGUGGGGAGCAAACAGGAUUAGAUACCCCGGUAGUCCCUGUCUCUUAUAC
This 303-nucleotide ribosomal RNA is filed under the name uncultured bacterium. RNAcentral's name for it is "partial 16S ribosomal RNA". It matches the Rfam family "Bacterial small subunit ribosomal RNA", at positions 507 to 807 of the family's 1533-position model. The record is from RNAcentral.